UUCUUGAUUGUCUACCCUAAACAAGAAAGAAUAUAAAUUCUCUGAAGAGCUACUAGGGGGAUUUUUUUGCCCUUACUCUACUACAGAAAAGGUGAAGGCAUUGCCAUUAUCUUUCUAUGUGGCUGAAAUCACAAUCAGUAUGAAGGUCUUUGCAUACACUGUAUAUGGAGAUUGAGCACCUUGAUCAGUAUUGUGAAUUCCUCUCCUAGAACAGUGCAUGUAACGUCAUUCUUAUCAUUCUUCUGGAAACCAGGACUCUCAAUUCCAUCUCUAACUAGCUCAAGCAAAGUAGAAAGUGUCAUUAACUUCCGUGGAUCUGGACCCAUGCUUAAAGAAGUUACUCAGAGGUAGAAUCUACUUACUCUUCUGAAGCAGCAUGAUGGUGUCAAGUCUAUAUCUUUUGGUUAUCAAGACAGA
Long non-coding RNA from Myiozetetes cayanensis, 417 nucleotides. RefSeq lists it as uncharacterized. Lineage: Eukaryota; Metazoa; Chordata; Aves; Passeriformes; Tyrannidae. The transcript is spliced from 3 exons. The record is from RefSeq and is a predicted model, not a curated record.